UGGCAUGGGCGCAAGCCUGAUGCAGCGACGCCGCGUGAGGGAUGAAGGCCUUCGGGUUGUAAACCUCUUUUGUAGGGAAGAAGCCGGCCUUUUUGCGGUUGGUGACGGCUACCUGAGAAUAAGCCCCGGCUAACUACGUGCCAGCAGCCGCGGUAAUACG
RNAcentral lists this ribosomal RNA (160 nucleotides) under uncultured bacterium. RNAcentral describes it as "partial 16S ribosomal RNA". It matches the Rfam family "Bacterial small subunit ribosomal RNA", at positions 364 to 527 of the family's 1533-position model. The record is from RNAcentral.